This 3343-nucleotide long non-coding RNA is filed under the name Mus musculus (house mouse). RNAcentral describes it as "long non-coding RNA chr9:67896560-67899903". The record is from RNAcentral. Lineage: Eukaryota; Metazoa; Chordata; Mammalia; Rodentia; Muridae.
ACCUACCUAUCUUUUGAUUGCUCUAAAUAACCAAAGUGAGGUUUUGGAUUUUCCUCUCAAGUCUCAGCAUUUGGGAACAGGUAGGCGUUAAACUGAACGGAGCCUUUAUUCCAGCUGGGAAAAGGAAGCAGAGGGUGGAGCCGCGUCCUGACGGCCUCUUCCGGGGCAGUGUCCAGAAGGCAAAGGGUUCAGGGUGGGCAGUAGGAGAGCUGAGCCACAGUUGGCAGUCCUCUCAGGAGUCAGGCUGAGGAAGGAGCUCUCCCUCUGGGCAGGCUAUUUGAAGCAGACAGCUGUGUAAUUGGCUCAGUGACUGCAGAUGCAUCUAUUGCUCAAGCGGAACAGACCUGUGGUGGGGUAAUGCACUCCUAGCGAGCUGCUUACAGAUCAUCAGGAAAUUAGGCACUCUCCUCUCUUUAGUUAGAAGUUUUGAAAUGUGACUAAGGCAUGCUGAUAUGUAUGUAUGCUUUUCUGUUAUAGAAAGAAAUUCAGUUGUUUUCCUUCACUCCGUUUUAGCUCAACAGUAAAGACCAAGGCGCACAGAAGACUGCUAAUGCAUCCCUUGAAGAAAUAAUAGACAAGGCGUAUGACAAGUUUGAUGUGGAGAUAAGGAGUGUGCAGUUGCUCUUUGCAAAAGCAGGUCAGCCACUGCUCAGCUCUCAGGGCAGGCAGAUUAGCUCCAGUAGCUUUGUUCAAGUAUGUGCGUGCAUUGUUAGCCUUGAUGCUCUGUUUGCUCUGUUUGCUCCUGGGCAUCAGUCCUAGACACUGCCUGUGCACUUGUCCUGCUGAUCACUUUAGAAAACCCGGUAGGAGUGGCCCAAUGCAGAAUGCCACAGUUGUAACAGAGGUCAACAUGGGACUAUUAACCCUAGGGUACUCAGCACCAUUUGCACCUAAGCUCAUGUGUGGCCUGUCUGUAGCAUGACAGACAGGCCACACACGACACAUGAGGUGUCUGAACACAGCAGAAGUUGCAGCUGGUUCUGGCUCUUCACUCUCAAUGCUUUGGCAUGUUUUCAUGGUCUCUAUGCUGCCUUUAUUUGAAAAUAUUUUGUGUUCUAGCCCAGUCUUUAAUUUUGUAUUAUUAUAACUACUUUUAUAGAUGUCUGAGAGACUUAUAUUUGAAGAAUACCAUAUCUAAAAACUCCACAAGAAGCUUCUUUGAUUAAAAAAUCUUAAAUGAGAGAUGUUCCCGAAUCUAAAACAUUUUAACUGCUGAUAUGAUGCUAUAAAUGAUUCAUGCCACACACGAUCUCAGAUGAUGGGCUGCCCUAGAAGCCCACGUGCCCUGCAGGUGCCAAGUUACACAGCUGGACUUGUGUGUACAGUUGGGUCCCAUCCCCAGGAUAUCUUGCUAUGUUCAUACAUAUUCUUAGAUCUUACUAAGAUCUCCUCUCCGCUGUACCGUGUUUUCAUUACAGGCAUUCAUCCUGUAGAUAAGCUCUCAAGACUUAAAUAGUUUAUGUCUCAAAGCUUUGGUGUUUUCUGUUGCUUAAGCACAGCUUUUCAGUUUUCCAUAUUGCUUUUGUUACUAGAAGAAGUAGUGUUGAUUAAAUAUCUCUGAGCAUGUCAUUUUGUGGACAGUCACCUGAGGACGGAAUCUCUGCCUACCGAGGCUGUGCUCUCCUCUGCCCAGUGAGAUCUGUUAACAUUAAGAUGACAUGUCUGCUAUUGUCUGUAAAGAGCCUCAGAGGUUCUUAAAGGAGAGUGUUUACACAGUCCGUAAAAACUGCCCUUUUUAUUGCAUUCCCUUACCAACAAUUAUUUGAGCAAUGAACUCUUCAGUCCCUGUCAUAGAUAAAGAUCUAUAUUUGACUGUAUUAGCCUUCUGAAAAAUCCAUCUUUGGAAUCUUCCUUUUGGAACAGUAGUGGCUAUUACACAUGAGUGUUUUUUAUUAUUAUUUUUUUAAUCUUCUACUAAUCUGUAUUAAAAUACAGAUGAUUUAAUUUGUAUGCUGAAGGAAGUGAAAAUUUGUUCACUGAAUUUGUUAAGUAUUUUCUAGCAAUGUAAAGUGGUUUUAUACAGACUAUCUGGUUAUUUUUGAUAAUUAAUAUCAAAAUUAUUAUUUUUAAAGAGGAAAAUUGGAAAAAGUGUAGAUUCCAGCAUCCAUCGACUAUGCAUAUACUGCAGCCAAUGGAUAUUCACGUUGAGUUGGCCAAGGCAAUGGUGGAGAAGGAUGUUAGAAUGGCCAAGUAAGUAUGACUGUCUUUUGUAUUAGACGUCAACAAAGAUGCUGCACCCAUAUUACCUACUGAAAUGUAAGGACACAGAGGUGGAUAUAUGUGGGAGAGGGAAAAACAGUGACUAUUCUAUCUUAUAAUACAAAUACAUUUUAAAGAAAAUACUUGUAUAGGCUUUUAUGCUGGCUAGUUUUAUGUCAGGUUGACACAAGCUAUAGUUAUCUUAGAGGAGACAACUUCAAUUGAGAGAAUGACUCCAUAAGAUUGUGUUGUAGGUAAAACUUUAGACUAUUUUCUUGAUUAGUGAUUGAUGUAGGAGGGCCCAGCCGCCUGGGCUAGUGGUCCUGGGUUCUCUAAGAACGCAGGCUGAGCAACCAUGAUGAGCAAGCCAGUACGCAGCAUCCUCCAUGGCCUCUGCAUCAGCCCCUGCCUCCAGGUUCCUGCCCCGUUUGAGCUUUUGUCCUGACUUCAGUGAUGAACUCUGAUGUGGAAGUCUAAGCCAGAUAAACCCUUUUUCCCCCAAGUUGCUUUUGCUCAUAGUGUUCAUUACAGCAGUAGUAACCCCCACUAAGACAUGAUGUGUCUCCUAUUUCAGAAUUCAUAGUUAGAGUUUUACAUUGUAUAAAUAUCGGCUAUCUGAGAUUCUGAAUGUGUGAGCAUCAGGAUUCACUAUCCGUGAAAUAAAAGUUUCAAAGGAAGUUAGCUCUUUUGGUCAUGAAACCACGGACAAUCUUGAGAAAUGUCCUAAAGGAAUAAAGAAGUAGAAGCUAGACUGUGAGGUUAGUAUAUCCUCAUGAAAUUGUUACGCUGUCUUCCUAAAAGCAGCUUUACUGAGGUUUAACUGACACUCUGGAUGUCCUUUAAUGUGCUGUCUGUGUCUCCAUGGGGUCAUCACUGCAGUGGGGACAACAUGUCUGCCACCUGCAGAAGCUUCCUUGAGCUCCAUCCACCCUCUCUUUUUCCUGUGCCCACUUCUUUCCCUGGAAAACAUUGACAUGUUCCUUGAUCCUGAAGAUUUGGUAGAAUUUUCUAGAAUUUCUAAUGAGUGAAAUCAUUGAGCUUUAGCUUUUUUUUGUCUGACUUCUUUCUGUAAGAUUAAGAUUCACUGUGAUAUCACCAGGGAAGGGGACAACAUUUGAAAUGUAAAAAAAGGAAAUAUCUAAUU